This 277-nucleotide ribosomal RNA is filed under the name uncultured prokaryote. RNAcentral's name for it is "partial 16S ribosomal RNA". It matches the Rfam family "Bacterial small subunit ribosomal RNA", at positions 524 to 800 of the family's 1533-position model. The record is from RNAcentral.
UACGGAGGAUCCGAGCGUUAUCCGGAUUUAUUGGGUUUAAAGGGUGCGCAGGCGGGGGAUUAAGUCGGCGGUGAAAUUUUGCAGCUCAACUGUAAAAGUGCCUUCGAAACUGGUUUCCUUGAGUGUAGACGAAGUAGGCGGAAUUUGUGGUGUAGCGGUGAAAUGCAUAGAUAUCACGAGGAACUCCGAUUGCGCAGGCAGCUUACUAAACUACUACUGACGCUCAGGCACGAAGGCGUGGGGAUCAAACAGGAUUAGAUACCCCCGUAGUCCCUGA